AGAAUCAACGCUGGCGGCGUGCCUAACACAUGCAAGUCGAACGAGAAAGUGGAGCAAUCCAUGAGUAAAGUGGCGACCGGGUGAGUAACACGUGACUAACCUACCUUCGAGUGGGGGAUAACCUCGGGAAACCGGGGCUAAUACCGCAUAACAUCUUUGAAGUGGAAAUUUCGGAGAUCAAAGGAGCAAUUCGCUGGAAGAGGGGGUCGCGGCUGAUUAGCUAGUUGGCGGGGUAACGGCCCACCAAGGCUUAGAUCGGUAGCCGGCCUGAGAGGGCGCACGGCCACACUGGAACUGAAACACGGUCCAGACUCCUACGGGAGGCAGCAGUGGGGAAUUUUGCGCAAUGGGGGAAACCCUGACGCAGCAACGCCGCGUGGAGGAUGAAGUCCCUUGGGACGUAAACUCCUUCGACCCGGACGAUAAUGACGGUACGGGUGGAAGAAGCCCGGCUAACUUCGCGCCAGCAGCCGC
Molecule: ribosomal RNA, 474 nt
Filed under: uncultured bacterium
Lineage: Bacteria
Description: SSU rRNA
Rfam family: Bacterial small subunit ribosomal RNA
Source: RNAcentral